AUACACACAUACGUAUAUACGUAUGUGUGUAUAUAUACAUAUAUACACAUAUACGUAUAUACGUAUAUGUGUAUG
Gorilla gorilla gorilla (western lowland gorilla) is the source of this 75-nucleotide non-coding RNA. Lineage: Eukaryota; Metazoa; Chordata; Mammalia; Primates; Hominidae. The record is from Rfam.